This is a long non-coding RNA of Xiphophorus maculatus (southern platyfish), 207 nucleotides long. RefSeq lists it as uncharacterized. The transcript has 3 exons. The record is from RefSeq and is a predicted model, not a curated record. NCBI's taxonomy places the organism in Eukaryota, Metazoa, Chordata, Actinopteri, Cyprinodontiformes, Poeciliidae.
GAAGAGGAUCUCACUCACAGAGGGACAGAGGAAAACAGAGAGACAAACUGCUGGAGGAAAAUAAUUCAUCUGACAGCAAAGAUGCAGUGGAGUCUGAUUCUGCUCUUCCUGAUGGGUCAGUGUUGCUUCAUGGACUGUCAGCUCUAUCAGUUUCACUACAUUAAAGAGGCAAAGAAGUGGACUGAAGCUCAGCAGUACUGCAGAGAG